This 440-nucleotide ribosomal RNA is filed under the name uncultured Methylobacterium sp. Its description in RNAcentral is "bacterial SSU rRNA". It matches the Rfam family "Bacterial small subunit ribosomal RNA", at positions 338 to 795 of the family's 1533-position model. Lineage: Bacteria; Pseudomonadati; Pseudomonadota; Alphaproteobacteria; Hyphomicrobiales; Methylobacteriaceae. The record is from RNAcentral.
CCUACGGGUGGCUGCAGUGGGGAAUAUUGGACAAUGGGCGCAAGCCUGAUCCAGCCAUGCCGCGUGAGUGAUGACGGCCUUAGGGUUGUAAAGCUCUUUUGUCCGGGACGAUAAUGACGGUACCGGAAGAAUAAGCCCCGGCUAACUUCGUGCCAGCAGCCGCGGUAAUACGAAGGGGGCUAGCGUUGCUCGGAAUCACUGGGCGUAAAGGGCGCGUAGGCGGCUUGCCAAGUCGGGGGUGAAAGCCCGUGGCUCAACCACGGAAUGGCCUUCGAUACUGGCAGGCUUGAGACCGGAAGAGGACAGCGGAACUGCGAGUGUAGAGGUGAAAUUCGUAGAUAUUCGCAAGAACACCAGUGGCGAAGGCGGCUGUCUGGUCCGGUUCUGACGCUGAGGCGCGAAAGCGUGGGGAGCAAACAGGAUUAGAUACCCGGGUAGUC